This 74-nucleotide transfer RNA is filed under the name Streptococcus thermophilus. RNAcentral's name for it is "tRNA-Asp". It matches the Rfam family "tRNA". Rfam says of the family: Transfer RNA (tRNA) molecules are approximately 80 nucleotides in length. Their secondary structure includes four short double-helical elements and three loops (D, anti-codon, and T loops). Lineage: Bacteria; Bacillati; Bacillota; Bacilli; Lactobacillales; Streptococcaceae. The record is from RNAcentral.
GGUCCCGUGGUGUAGCGGUUAUCACGUCGCCCCUGUCACGGCGAAGAUCGCGGGUUCGAUUCCCGUCGGGACCG